CCUACGGGAGGCAGCAGUGGGGAAUAUUGGACAAUGGGCGCAAGCCUGAUCCAGCCAUGCCGCGUGUGUGAAGAAGGUCUUCGGAUUGUAAAGCACUUUAAGUUGGGAGGAAGGGCAGUAAGCGAAUACCUUGCUGUUUGACGUUACCGACAGAAUAAGCACCGGC
RNAcentral lists this ribosomal RNA (166 nucleotides) under uncultured bacterium. Its description in RNAcentral is "partial 16S ribosomal RNA". It matches the Rfam family "Bacterial small subunit ribosomal RNA", at positions 338 to 497 of the family's 1533-position model. The record is from RNAcentral.